This 330-nucleotide unclassified non-coding RNA is filed under the name soil metagenome. Its description in RNAcentral is "partial contains 5.8S ribosomal RNA, internal transcribed spacer 2, and large subunit ribosomal RNA". The stretch from base 1 to 120 matches the Rfam family "5.8S ribosomal RNA", at positions 35 to 154 of the family's 154-position model. The record is from RNAcentral.
GAUGAAGAACGCAGCGAAAUGCGAUAAGUAAUGUGAAUUGCAGAACUCAGUGAAUCAUCGAAUCUUUGAACGCACAUUGCGCCCCUUGGUAUUCCAUGGGGCAUGCCUGUUCGAGCGUCAUUUGUACCCUCAAGCUUUGCUUGGUGUUGGGCGUCUUGUCGUAUUACGACUCGCCUUAAAUACAUUGGCAGCCGGCACUUUGGCCUAGGAGCGCAGCACAUUUUGCGAUCGUAGCCCGUUGUACUGGCGUCCAUCAAGAACAUUUACCACGUUUGACCUCGGAUCAGGUAGGGAUACCCGCUGAACUUAAGCAUAUCAAUAAGCGGAGGA